This is a long non-coding RNA of Corvus hawaiiensis (hawaiian crow), 7111 nucleotides long. RefSeq lists it as uncharacterized. Lineage: Eukaryota; Metazoa; Chordata; Aves; Passeriformes; Corvidae. The record is from RefSeq and is a predicted model, not a curated record. The transcript has 2 exons.
CCCUGUGGAAAAAAGAAAAUAGAUGGAAGCCUAAGAUGUUCUUUUUUGUUGAUUGAAAAGAUGCUAUCUUUAAUGAACUGAUGGGCUCAAAUCCACUUUUUCUCCCAGUUAAACUAGGUAGCUGGUUUUUUUCUUGCAUAUCUAAUACAUCAGAAUGGGGCAAAGGUGUUUUCUUUGCUUUUUCUUCUGCUCUCCUUUAAUCCUCUUCCUCCCAGUUAAAUGAAGGACAGCAGUAGCUCAGAAACAAGGGAGAGUGCUGCAGGGCUGUUAUUACUAUAAAAUUUGAAGUAAACUGCUUAAAAGAGAUUUAAAUCUAGAUUGUUAUUUGUAAAAGGUCUUGCAGAGGUAUUUACUGAACUGGGGGAAGAAAGAGAAGAUGAUAGAUGGAGGUGGUUAUCUGUGUCACAUCAGCUUAGCUGAACAUUCCCAGCACGCUGUGCGAGGUUCCGAGACCGCAACUUCAAUGAGUGUCUGCACACCAGGUCAGUGGGACAGGCUGCUGUUGCUGGGAUGAGUUCUGAUGCACAAAUGAGUUCUUUAUUUUACAACAGCAGCUUUCAUGUAUCUAAGCUAAAAAUUAAAACAGUUCACCCAUGGUAUCUGUCUGACCUUGUGAACCCAUUCACAUUUCCCAGCGGGAGAUGAGUGACUUGUGACACACAGGAUAUGCCAAACACCAAUUAGACACUUAGGAUGAAGUUCAUUUUAGCAGUUCUGACCUCAGUGUUUCCAUGUAACAUUCUGUAAAUGGCACAUUUGUAUUAUAAUAAGCCAGAGCAAUUCAUUCUCCUUUUGUUUUAAUCUCUACAUUAACCUGUACCCAUUAUGGUUUUUUACCUUGGGCACAGGCAUUUUGGCUGACACGAACUCACACAACUCUCUCUGUCAUAAAUUCAAAGAGAGCAAGCUGUACCAGACAGAAUUACCCAGUUGUAUCCCUCUCUCCCCAGUUGCUACCAACUAUUUUGCUGUGGCAGAGAAUUUCCCAAUAUCAGCAUUUAGUGAAGCCUUGGAGCUGCUCUGUGUUAAAGCUUGAGCUGAACAGGACCCUAGCACAGAGCAAGAAAACUGAUGCAGAUUCAGGGCUAUCAACUCUAAUAUACAGUGGAUUAUUUUCAUUUUGAAGAGCUAAUGUUUAAGCUCACUUUCAAAUGAAUGCAUCCACAACCUGUCUGUAGUCUGUGCUGGUCAUUAUUUUUACUGUGUAAUUCUGUCACCUACGCAAUUUUCUGAUUUUUCUUAUUUUGCCAUUAUCCAUAUUGUAUAUGCAGAGGUAAUGUAUGAUAUUGCUGCUGCUUUCCAUUUGUGCCUUAGAUUAACGUUUUAGUUCAAUCAAUCUGGCUUCCUUGUAACACAACAUCGUGAUCAAUCUUACAGGACCAGAAUAACAAUAAAAUUACAUUUCUAGAAUAAGAUGGAUUCUAAACUUAUUAAAUAUAUCCUCACUGGAAUACAUAAGAAUGAAACAAAAUCCUUCAUCACCUCACCUACAGAAGACAUAUUUGUAAUCUAAAGCUGCCCUUCCUAUUGAAAUUUAUUGCUUCUAAACUACAACUAUUAGAACUCAAUCUUCAAUUAAUUUUUCACUUUUUUCAUACAUUGGACCUCUUAUUGUCACUUAAAUGAAUCAUUUGUAAGGUUACUGUAAAUCUAAUAGGAUACAUUUCCAUGUGAUGUAUUUUUGUUAAGAACUACUCAACAAGUAGGCCUCUGCCUCUUGUUUAGACUGCUCCUCCUUCUUGCUCUGAACCCAGAUUUUACUCUUGGGUCAUUGAGGGUAAACCUGUAUUGUAAAUUUACUGCUUUAAAUUUAGGAUUAAUAAAGUUGAAAUUGUAUCUCCAACAGACUUGGGGAAAAUGCUGCCCCAGUUAACAGGGCAAAGUGAGCCUGUGAGGCUACUGGUCCCAACACCUCCAGGUGAGGUGUUUUUGAAGCCAGGGAUUCUGCAUUCCACAGAAGGCUCUGAACUAACAGCAGUGUAUCCUAAGUGCAUGUUCUUAGCUCCUGCCAGGCUGGAACAGGUCACUGCAUCCUGUGCACCAUCCCACCAGAAACAGCCCAGAAGCAGCUGAUGCACAGGGCCUGGCGGGUGAGAGAGGCAGGAGCUCAGUCCAGGCAGCCUGUGGGGCCCAGGCACCCCAUGCUGGGAGCUGCCCAGCCUUGUGUGCAGGUCUGCUGGCUGAACUGGGGGUGAGAUCAGUGCAGGAAUGGGGGCUGGUGGCUAGAGACCUCUCUCUCUACGACUACUCUGCAGCUGACUGAGGUUUUAAGGCUAAAUUCCAAAAGCUGUUCUUUGAAUUUAGGAAUUCUGAAAGACAUUUAAAUAUGGAGGACCUUCUCAUUUAAUGGGAGUUCUGGAUUCUCCUAGAUUGCAUGCUAGUAAGCUUUGGAUUUGAACUCUGGCUUGAGUACACCAUAACCCAAAUUAACUGUGCUGUGUUAUCUUCUAACUCUGCAAUUAGCUUGUGUCACCAGCAAAUGAAAUGCAUGAGUAAUUUCUAUACGGAAAUUGCUUGCCACCUCAUUUAUUAACAUUAAAACAGAUGCUGUUUUAUCACUGACUGAUACUGGACAUUAAUCAGUAUUUUGUCAGACUCUGCAUGCAUAUUAAUAUCACAGCUGGGAGGAAUCUGGGGAAGUUCCUCUGUAAAAUAUCCUGUACCUCCUGCCUGAUCAUCUGCCAGCACAGCACCCAUGGAAGUGCUUGUACCCCUCUCAGGCAGCUACUGUUUACCCCUUGAGUGCACAUUUUCCCACAGAUGGUAUCCACCUACAGCAAAAGCUGGAAGUACAGCACAAAAGAAACAAGGCAGGAAAACCAGGCCACCCUAUACCACAGUCUGGUCAGCCUUUUUCCUUAGAAAUGAAGAGCCAUAAUAAAUCAACCCUCUAAAACUAUAGGUGUUCCCACACUUUGUAAAGUAAUUCAUAUCUUGAUGGGUGAAUAAAAAGUGUCAUUUAUAUGUUGAGUGAUGGGCAAGGUGGUGGGUCAGGACUAUGAACAUUUCUAGAUAAUUUUUUUGCUUUCUAUUCCCAGGAUCCCAUUCCCAUAAUUACUCCUGUUUUCCAAACCAUGUAUGCAUUUUGUUAUUAAGGUAAUGAGGUGAGGCAUAUGGACCAAAGAACAGGACUAGCUCACAUACAGCUUACAGUCCUUUGGGCCUCUCUUCCCAUCAAGCCCUGAUAAGCUCCAGGAAAUGUAACUAGCAACAACUGCUGCUUUGCAUUUGAUUUAAAGGAACUGAAGAGAGAGAGAGAGAGAGAGAGGUAAGAAAACACUAAAGUAUUUCAAAUACCAAUUUUCAGGUGAAUUAUCAUGGAAAAUAGCCUGGCAGUCAAAUGAGGAUUCUUCUAGGAAAAUUAUCUGGUUCAAAAACUGGAACAAAAAUUAUUCGCAUUAGUUAAAAUAAGGCUCAGAAUGAAGUGUUAAGCUUCUGGGAGCUCCAGAAGGCCCAUGAGGAGGAGAAGAGUUAAAGAGGGUUCAUCUCACUAACCCCUUGAGUCUUCCUUGUGUACAUGAGUACCCUGAGACCUGCCAGGAACCAGCCUUUCUGUCUCUGCUGCCCAUAAUCCCACGGACAGGGGCUGGAAUUCUUACUACCUCAUUCAGGCUUGUCUUGUCCUUCCCAGCCCUGCUGCUGAGCAGUCACAAAGGGAAGCAGCAGCACUGCAGUGCCUUCAGGAAUUGUCGUGGUAUCUGGGCACACUGUCAGGCUGCUGCUGAAGGGAGGCAAGAGGACAAUCCUGCAUCUCCCAGUUCAGGAGUGAGUCCUGUGCAUGCAAUGGGCUGCCAAAGGGAGUUCUGAGAGGGAAAUGCUUCCCAUCUGGAGUGCUAAUUUGCUCCAGCAAAGGCUAGGAUUGGAUCCUUGGGCACUGGAAAAAAUACAGCAAGAUGGCUUGUCUGUAUUGGGACAAAUGAGUGAGAGGUGUACACACUUGCCAAAAAUGUUUGCAAUGUGCACGGAAGCACAAGCUUUCAUCUUGUUACAGAACGUACAGGUCUGAAGUAUUUAGCAGCAUGAGAGCAAUAUCAAGCCAUUAACCCUUACUACAGCAUAAAUCUGUAGCGAGCAAAGGGGUUUGAAAGUACAUAUAAUUUUGCUGUAAAGUGCUAGAAAUUUAUAAUAAUCAGGACACUAAGUCCAGCUCAGCUAUAAAACCCAGUGUCCAGUGAAAGUAAAUAGAAAUGAAUCUAAAGCACCUUGUUGCAAUUAAUAGUGACAAAUCUUUUAGUCUGUGCUCCAGACUCCUGGACUAUUUUUCCUGCACGGGUGCAAAGCAAUUUGGUUAAUGAUCUUAAGCUAAUAAUUUGUAGCAGAAUCAACAGCACGAUAUUCGCGGUACCUUUGAGGUGUCCUUCACGUUACAGAUGUGACACUAAUUUAGUUCCAUGACAGUGAUCACCACACUCAUUACUUAUUCCACAAAUUAAUACUUAAAAAUGAAUUGGUAUCUAUCUGCUGAAGUUAUAAAUUUGGUGAUAUUAAUUCUGAAUAGAAAUAAGAUUUUUUGGGGUUCAUUUUUUUUUUUCAAUCUUAAUGAUUCUGCAGUUGCACAGCAAGUAGGAUAUCCAAACCAUCUAGUGCACACACAUUUUUGUUGUUUUGUUGGGAUUUUUUGUUUUGUUUUUUUUUUAUUUCAAUGGUAGAUUCUUAUUCUGUCUGACAGAAAACCAGGAAAUAUGGCUUACAAUUACAGAAUAUUUCUUUCUUUCUGCUAUUCUGUUCUGUUGUCUUAUUUCUUUGAAAGGAAGCACUGUUUCAACUUCUUAAUGAGUGGCUGAAGAGCAAGCUAAGAAGGUUAACUCUAUUUAUGGCAAGAAACUCCUUUCAUAGAUCUUCAUGGACAGCUUCUUCCAGGCAUGGCAACUACAGUUUUCCCCUUCACCACCUGGGGAAUCAAGCUGAAGUAAAGACACUUCAUAUUACUUUGAUUAAGAAAUGACCUUUUCCCUUUUUACAACCAGGUGUGCAUAGCUUUAUGUUAAGAUUUUUUUAUGAAGACUGUAAGAAUAAUUACAUCUAUCACUGGUAGGAUUGAUCUACAGCCUUCCUUGUAUUAGAAUUUAAGUCCAUUUGAUUUCAGUGUAUUGGUUCCAUGAAAGCCUUUUAUAUUGUCUCAGUGACAUUCUUCAUCUCUCUUAAAACAGUUUGUUUGGGUUUAGUUGGGUUUUUUAUAUGUAUCUAAAUUAUUCUGAAUUUUUCUGAAAAGUCAGGAUUACACAUUAUUUUGCAGUAAAAUGCUGUAUUCUGUAUUUUUAGAUAAUCAAUUUAAGAAUUACUUCCAUGUGCCACUGGAAUACAGCCACAUCCGGAGUAAGACAGACCAGCCACUUACAGAAACUGUAGUAGUAUGUCUUGGCCAACUGAGAUGACAAAGGAAUGAGAUGCUGUGCUGUAGAAGGCACUAAUGUCAAGAGCUCAGCAGAAACCUCCUGGGGAACAGCAGCAUUCUGGACUAUACAAUGUUCUGCUCCUGCCCCCACAGGUACCUAAAUUUUCUCCCUUACAGAUUCUUUCCUACCCAUGUUUCUUUUCAUCUUCCCUUUCUUCUGUGCUGCUUAUUCAUUUAUUUUCAUCUCCCGUUUUAAUCUUCUCAGCCCUUCAAGUAUGCUGUCUGUGCCCUCUAAAGGAGUCGUUCAUACACAGCAGAGCCUGCAGUUUAUUAAAAUCUACAGGGCCUGUUCCUCAGGCUGAAUUUUGCUGGCAUCUGAGUGCCUUUGAUUCACACUGGGAGUUCAGGGUACCCAUGACUGAGUUCACUAUAAACUUGUUAUAAUGUCAUUAAUGGCUCAAAUGCCUUGAGAAUAUUUCAGGAGCUGAGCCUGGUGCCUGUGCAGAAAAAGAAAUGCUUCCAUCACACACUCACUACCGGCCUCUGGCUCUGGAUGGGUGCUGCAGAACCAGAAAGAGCAGCUUGCCUGAAAUGGCACAGCAUGUGUCACAAAAAGAACAGGAUCCUGGCAAUGUCAGGGAAGGAAUGGAACCCUGGCUCCCUGUGGCAGAACUGAAGUUCUGAGACUGAAGCAGGGGAGGGAAACUGUUCCUCAGAACCGGGGACAGCACAUGAUCCUACCCUGGAUCACCAAAAGCAUAAUCCAGGAAAGGAGGUGGCGGUGUGCAUUCCUUGUGUCCAGGGCCUCCCCCUGGGGCUCAUGAUGGCCAGGUUACAGUGCAGUUACAGCUUUUUGACUUCUAUGCCUUUGCAAAUACUGAGCACACAGAUAUAACCCUCUGCACUUUUCUUGAAGGGCACGAACACUUAAUUCACCUUGCAUUACUCUGGAAAAGACAUUCACAUCACAACUGGCAGGGUAUGUGCCCUUGUUAUCCUUCCUUCUUGUUCUGGCAGAGACCAGAACACACCGACUGGAGAUGAAGAAGAACCCUUAAUGUUACAAAACUGACCAAGUUACUCUGUGCUCUGGUGUGAGCCUUAGUCAGCCAGGAACUCAGAUCCACUGUAACUGAACAGAGCUCUGUAAGCAAACCAUGUGGGGUGUGACAAAGGCAGCAAAUGCCAAGCAAAUGUUCCCUUCAGCUAAGAGGAUACAACAGUUUCCUCUAACAUUGGUUCUGCCUUUCUCAUGUAGCCCAGAAAAUGAAAUCUGUGCUCGAGUCUUCCCUGUCCACAAGAGGAUUGAUCCCUGUUCCAAGCUUUGGUGUGUGUGUUUUUUAUUUGUAGGCUAGCACAUCUGACUCUGAGUUACUGCACAAUAAACCUACCUCUUCAUCUGCAUCUAAGUGGGGACCCUGUGCCAUUUUUACAGCAGCAUAUUUAAUAAGUAAAAAACUUCAUUAAAAAUAAAUGUCUUUCAUGCUGGGAAGUCUUUGGUUUGAACGCCCAUUUUCAAACAUUAUAUGUGAAAAUACUCAAGUACUGCAGUGGGUCACUUACUACAAAUUUGAUUUGAAGAUCAGCCUACAAGUCUCAUAAACAGUCUCAUAAAGAUGUAAGUAUCAUAAUAACUUUCCAUUUUCCACUUGCAAGUAUAAGAUUAACUGUUCUGAAGCACCUAAUGUAUGACUAAUGUUUAUUUGUUUUACAAGAAGCUUUACAGCUGCAACGUUCCAAAAAUGCUUAAAUUCAAUAAACAGCUAUUAUAAUUCA